RNAcentral lists this signal recognition particle RNA (318 nucleotides) under Vombatus ursinus (common wombat). Its description in RNAcentral is "Metazoan signal recognition particle RNA (ENSVURG00010024485.1)". It matches the Rfam family "Metazoan signal recognition particle RNA". Rfam says of the family: The signal recognition particle (SRP) is a universally conserved ribonucleoprotein. It is involved in the co-translational targeting of proteins to membranes. The record is from Rfam by way of RNAcentral. Lineage: Eukaryota; Metazoa; Chordata; Mammalia; Diprotodontia; Vombatidae.
ACUGGGUGCCCAGGGACCUUGCCAAUCAACUUAGCCAGAUGCACCUAUAAUACCAGCUCCUGGGGAGGUGGAGGCUGCUGGAUCUCUUGAGCUCAGGAGUUCUGAGCUGCAGUGGGAUAAGCUGACUGGGUACCUGCACUAAGUUUGACAUUAAUAUAGUGAACCUCUGGGAGUGGGCUCAACCAGGUAUCCUAAGGAUCAGUGAACAGGCUCAGCUUAGAAAAAGAGCAGGUCCGAAAUCUGGUGCCAGUCUGAGUAGGAUCAGGCCUAUGAGUGGCUCCUCCUUUUCAGUAUGAGCAAGAUAGGGAGACCCAGAUU